AUUAUUUACUUCACCGGCGAUAUCCCCGCUCAUAAUAUAUGGAACCAGACGAGAGUAGAUCAGUUGGCGAGAAUCCGGGUAUUUCAAUCAGCAUUAGAGCGCUACCUACCGGAUAAACCUGUCUAUUUUGCUGCUGGUAAUCACGAGAGUUCUCCGUGUAAUAUAUAUGCUCCACCUUUUGUUACUGGGAAUUUAUCACAAGAUUGGCUGUACGGAGCUUUCGCGGAAGUCUGGACAAAAUGGAUGCCCAUGGAUACUAUAGACACCAUCUUAAGGGGCGGAUUUUAUUCAGUUUCACCAUUACCUGGUUUAAGAAUUAUUUCCAUCAAUUCAAAUCUAGGUACGACAGAUAACUGGUGGUUAUUAGUCAACAAUACAGAUCCAGCAGAUCAGUUACAAUGGUUGGCUGAUGAAUUACAGGAAGCAGAGAAUAACAAUGAAAAAGUUCACAUAUUGAUGCAUCAUCCGACUGCAAGUACUGGUAUUAAACCAUGGAACUUGAAUUUCUUUAAAAUUGUCAACAGAUACGAAGGUAUAAUACAGGCCCAUUUUAACGGCCAUAGUCAUGAUGAUUUCUUCACUGUAUUUUAUGAUGAAGUCAAUUUUACUCGACCAAUCAGUACAGGGUUUGUUGCCGGAAGUGGUACUACAUACAGUAAUUUAAACCCAGGAUUUAGAAUUUAUACCAUUGAUGGUAAUUAUACAGGAAGUUCCUGGGCUAUAUUAGAUUUUGAGAAUUAUGUGGCUGAUAUCAGUGAAUUAACGGUCAAGACCACACCAGUGUGGAUGAAAGAAUAUUCAGCCAAGGAUGACUAUAACAUGGGAAGUUUAUAUCCAUCUGACUGGAAUGAUCUAAUCUAUAGAAUGAAAGAUGAUGACGCGCUCUUCCAGAAGUUCGAUAAAUACCGGUACAAGUUGGCUGCCAAUGGACCAUGUAAAGGAAGUUGUAAAACUAGUUCAUUAUGUUCGUUAAAAACAGCACAAAUAGGACAUCCAGAUUUAUGUAAAGAUCUUCAAUAGUAAUAUAAUUAUUAUUUUUUAAAUUUAUAGUUGAUUACCGCCAUUUUUCCAUUUGUAUGUGUGUAUUACUUAUUGUAAAUAUUUUGUGUCACACCGGUCACUCCGCAACCAUGAACAUAUGUCAACUCGAUUUAUGUAAAGAUGUUGAAUAGUAAAAUAAGUAAAAGUCGUUGAUUACCAUCAUUGUUUCAUGUAUAUACGUGUAUUGCUGAUUGUUAUAAGUUAUCACAUUGUCAAUCGUAGGCUAAACUGACUGUCUAUAGUUAGCACCACAUGAGAACAGAGACGAAGCUAACUGACUGAUAUUUUAAGUUCAAAAUCGAUGAUUGAUUUUAGUCGAUAACACCAAGUAUACUUCGAGAAUUUUGAGAAGCAUAAAUUAUUUUUAUAUUUAAUCAAAACGAAAAUGUUUAUUUAGACUUCGUGUGUGUGACAGGUAUAGAACGGGUUAGAGUCAUAUUACAAACUAGUAUAUAAAAUUUUGAAUAUGGCCAUAAUUCAGGGCAGAUAUUUAUUCUCAGAGUUACCUGUGUGUCAAAUGUCCUUUUAUGUUACUCCACAACAACGCAAAUAAGAGUCCAACUCACCAAAAAGAGGAAAUACAUGUAUCCCCAACGGUGCGUAAAAUAGUAAAAGGGGCAAAGGAUUUUAUCUGCCGCGUACUCGUCUUGCAUGACACGCAUCCUGACUACGGACAGAUUGAACCUAGCAAAUUUCUAGUUUACUAACAGGAUUGAAAUGUAUCUAAAAUAAUGUGACCACUGUACAGAAUAAACCAGUCCAGUGUUUAAAUAUUAUUCCUAUUUAUUUGUAUAUAAUAAAUCAGAUCUUAUUAAAUUA
Long non-coding RNA from Patella vulgata (common limpet), 1860 nucleotides. RefSeq lists it as uncharacterized. The transcript has 8 exons. The record is from RefSeq and is a predicted model, not a curated record. Lineage: Eukaryota; Metazoa; Mollusca; Gastropoda; Patellidae.